GGGGGGAGGGGGGUUCCAACUAUGUGUCCCAAUUCAAAUGCAUUGAUCGGCCAAAAAAAGGGGUGUUCCAACCCUGGAUCCACCAAUGAUGUAGGAGUUGAUAUUGAUACCACUACCCAUUAGCCAAAUUACCAAAGAACAGAGAUUUUCAUAAUUACAGAAUGUCUGGUUCGGGUUUAAAAAUAAAUGACAGUUUACAAAAAAAAGAGCGAAAGUAAACAGGUCCGAGGUCGUGAAGAAAUGAACUUUGUGAUAAUCUACUCGUUUCCCAAAACUGAAAUAGUUCUAUCGUCUGCUUUCAAAAUACUUUUAAAAUGAAUGUGACCGUCUUUAGUCUGAAAUGUAUGCCAUACUGACAUUUUCAGCAUGUUUAAGAUGACAAAAUGACAACUGCGUCUUCAAAACAACUGUUUACUUUCAGUUUCUGUUUUUC
RNAcentral lists this long non-coding RNA (433 nucleotides) under Mytilus galloprovincialis (Mediterranean mussel). Lineage: Eukaryota; Metazoa; Mollusca; Bivalvia; Mytilida; Mytilidae. The record is from RNAcentral.